GGGCAAAGGCGCAGCAGCGGUAGG
Molecule: non-coding RNA, 24 nt
Filed under: Arabidopsis thaliana (thale cress)
Lineage: Eukaryota; Viridiplantae; Streptophyta; Magnoliopsida; Brassicales; Brassicaceae
Source: RNAcentral